UGGCGGCGUGCCUAAUACAUGCAAGUCGAACGGUCUUUCUAUGGAAGCUUGCUUCCACUGAGAAGAUAGUGGCGAACGGGUGAGUAACACGUGGGUAACCUGCCCAUAAGAGGGGGGAUAACAUCCGGAAACGGGUGCUAAUACCGCAUAGUUUUCUUGAUCGCAUGAUUGAGAAAGGAAAGACGGCCUUUGUGCUGUCGCUUAUGGAUGGACCCGCGGCGUAUUAGUUAGUUGGUGAGGUAACGGCUCACCAAGACGAUGAUACGUAGCCGACCUGAGAGGGUGAUCGGCCACAUUGGGACUGAGACACGGCCCAAACUCCUACGGGAGGCAGCAGUAGGGAAUCUUCCGCAAUGGACGAAAGUCUGACGGAGCAACGCCGCGUGAGUGAAGGAAGGUUUUCGGAUCGUAAAACUCUGUUGUCAGAGAAGAACAAGUUGGAGAGUAACUGCUCCAGCCUUGACGGUAUCUGACCAGAAAGCCACGGCUAACUACGUGCCAGCCGCCGC
RNAcentral lists this ribosomal RNA (509 nucleotides) under uncultured bacterium. RNAcentral describes it as "bacterial SSU rRNA". It matches the Rfam family "Bacterial small subunit ribosomal RNA", at positions 37 to 518 of the family's 1533-position model. The record is from RNAcentral.